RNAcentral lists this ribosomal RNA (253 nucleotides) under uncultured bacterium. RNAcentral describes it as "partial 16S ribosomal RNA". It matches the Rfam family "Bacterial small subunit ribosomal RNA", at positions 524 to 776 of the family's 1533-position model. The record is from RNAcentral.
UACGUAGGGGGCAAGCGUUGUCCGGAUUUCCUGGGCGUAAAGAGCGUGUAGGCGGCCAAACAGGUCCGUUGUGAAAACUGGAGGCUCAACCUCCAGACGUCGACGGAAACCGUGUGGCUAGAGUCCGGAAGAGGAGAGUGGAAUUCCUGGUGUAGCGGUGAAAUGCGCAGAUAUCAGGAAGAACACCAAUGGCGAAGGCAGCUCUCUGGGACGGUACUGACGCUGAGACGCGAAAGCGUGGGGAGCGAACAGG